UCCUGUUCUGUAGCCCUGCCAUCAAUGCAGACAUUUCUUGUACCUGUGUUUGGAUUACCAAGGAAGCUCCCAAUGUAUUAUACCUUUUUGGAAGACAAAGAUUGUAUCCCCUCCCUCAAACAAUAAGGUGAUUCAUCCAGGACACCUAUAAGCUAGUGGUCUGUUGUUAAAGCUGGGUGCACAGAAAAACCAGUGCUCUCACCAACUUCCACUAGAUCUAGCACCAAUUUGGUGUUAAGAUUCUUUGUAAGAAUCACUACAGCAAGCAGAACUCAAUCUGAUCCUGUGAAGCAGUGUUUCUUAACCUUUGCUCUUCCAGAUGAUUUGGACAUCAGUUCCCUUAAUGUCUUCCCUUUGGUCAUGCUGGCUGGAGCUUUGAGGAGUUGAAGUCUGAAACAUCUGGAUUGAGAAUCACUGGUUUAAGACAUGUACUGUCAGUGUUCAUAGGAUUCAUGAAUGGCAAAGUUAUUUAGCUUUGGCAUAUGCAUGUCUGCUUUUGUAUACAAAAUGCAUUGGACUAAUAAUAAUAAAUAAU
Molecule: long non-coding RNA, 535 nt
Organism: Sceloporus undulatus (fence lizard)
Lineage: Eukaryota; Metazoa; Chordata; Lepidosauria; Squamata; Phrynosomatidae
Exons: 2
Source: RefSeq, a predicted model, not a curated record